CGUGCUUAGGAUGUUGACAUAAUGGCUUUAAGCGACCCGUCCUGAAACACGGACCAAGGAGUCUAACAUGCUCGCGAGUGUUCGGGUGGAAAACCCUUGCGCGUAAUGAAAGUGAAAGUUGGGACCUCCGCGAGGAGGGCACCGACGCCCGGCCCUGAAGUUCUCUGACGGUGCUGCGGUAGAGCGCGUAUGUUGGGACCCGAAAGAUGGUGAACUAUGCCUGAAUAGGGCGAAGCCAGAGGAAACUCUGGUGGAGGCUCGUAGCGAUUCUGACGUGCAAAUCGAUCGUCAAAUUUGGGUAUAGGGG
Molecule: ribosomal RNA, 307 nt
Filed under: Trichaptum byssogenum
Lineage: Eukaryota; Fungi; Basidiomycota; Agaricomycetes; Hymenochaetales; Trichaptaceae
Description: eukaryotic LSU rRNA
Rfam family: Eukaryotic large subunit ribosomal RNA
Source: RNAcentral